Molecule: non-coding RNA, 72 nt
Organism: Potamilus streckersoni
Lineage: Eukaryota; Metazoa; Mollusca; Bivalvia; Unionida; Unionidae
Source: the annotation of a GenBank genome assembly
GGACCCGUGGACUAAUGGAUAAGGCGUUUGACUUUGAAUCAGAAAAUGCGAGCUCAAAUCUUGUCGUGGCCG